AGCCCCGUAGUGUAGUGGACUAUCAUAGUGCCCUUUGGAGGCAUUGACCGCGGUUCGAAUCCGCGCGGGGCUA
RNAcentral lists this transfer RNA (73 nucleotides) under Nanobdellota archaeon. RNAcentral's name for it is "tRNA-Gln". It matches the Rfam family "tRNA". From Rfam's summary of the family: Transfer RNA (tRNA) molecules are approximately 80 nucleotides in length. Lineage: Archaea; Nanobdellati; Nanobdellota. The record is from RNAcentral.